CUUGAGAAAGGGCAAACCUUGGGAAACCGAGGGACGCAAAGCUAUGGGUCUAAUGGGGAAACCGAUGACCGCCAGGCCGCCGCA
This 84-nucleotide non-coding RNA is filed under the name Elusimicrobiota bacterium. RNAcentral describes it as "Elusimicrobia bacterium c-di-GMP sequence". It matches the Rfam family "c-di-GMP-I riboswitch aptamer". Rfam says of the family: GEMM was predicted in a large-scale screen for bacterial structured RNA regulatory elements. Genes associated with GEMM are involved in a diverse array of functions, including chemotaxis regulation, signal transduction, secretion and chitin. Lineage: Bacteria; Pseudomonadati; Elusimicrobiota. The record is from RNAcentral.